GUGAGGAAUAUUGGACAAUGGGUGGAAGCCUGAUCCAGCCAUCCCGCGUGCAGGAAGACGGCCCUAUGGGUUGUAAACUGCUUUUAUCUGGGGAUAAACCUACUUACGUGUAAGUAGCUGAAGGUACCAGAAGAAUAAGCACCGGCUAACUCCGUGCCAGCAGCCGCGGUAAUACGGAGGGUGCAAGCGUUAUCCGGAUUUAUUGGGUUUAAAGGGUCCGUAGGCGGACUGAUAAGUCAGUGGUGAAAUCCGACAGCUUAACUGUCGAACUGCCAUUGAUACUGUUAGUCUUGAGUAAGGUUGAAGUGGCUGGAAUAAGUAGUGUAGCGGUGAAAUGCAUAGAUAUUACUUAGAACACCAAUUGCGAAGGCAGGUCACUAAGUCUUAACUGACGCUGAUGGACGAAAGCGUGGGGAGCGA
Molecule: ribosomal RNA, 420 nt
Filed under: uncultured Elizabethkingia sp.
Lineage: Bacteria; Pseudomonadati; Bacteroidota; Flavobacteriia; Flavobacteriales; Weeksellaceae
Description: bacterial SSU rRNA
Rfam family: Bacterial small subunit ribosomal RNA
Source: RNAcentral